This 869-nucleotide ribosomal RNA is filed under the name uncultured bacterium. Its description in RNAcentral is "bacterial SSU rRNA". It matches the Rfam family "Bacterial small subunit ribosomal RNA", at positions 631 to 1501 of the family's 1533-position model. The record is from RNAcentral.
AACUACAAGACUAGAAUAUGUCAGAGGGGGGUAGAAUUCCACGUGUAGCAGUGAAAUGCGUAGAGAUGUGGAGGAAUGCCAAUGGCGAAGGCAGCCCCCUGGGAUAAUAUUGACGCUCAUGCACGAAAGCGUGGGGAGCAAACAGGAUUAGAUACCCUGGUAGUCCACGCCCUAAACGAUGUCUACUAGUUGUUGGUGGAGUAAAAUCCAUGAGUAACGCAGCUAACGCGUGAAGUAGACCGCCUGGGGAGUACGGUCGCAAGAUUAAAACUCAAAUGAAUUGACGGGGGCCCGCACAAGCGGUGGAGCAUGUGGUUUAAUUCGAUGGUACGCGAGGAACCUUACCAGGGCUUGACAUAGGAGGUACGGCGGCAGAGAUGUCGCUUCCCGCAAGGGGUCUCUUACAGGUGCUGCAUGGCUGUCGUCAGCUCGUGCUGUGAAGUGUUGGGUUAAGUCCCGCAACGAGCGCAACCCUUGCCAAUAAUUGCCAUCAUUUAGUUGGGCACUUUAUUGGGACUGCCGAUGACAAAUCGGAGGAAGGUGGGGAUGACGUCAAGUCCUCAUGGCCCUUAUGGCCAGGGCUUCACACGUAAUACAAUGGUCGGUACAGAGGGUUGCCAACCCGCGAGGGGGAGCCAAUCCCAGAAAGCCGAUCGUAGUCCGGAUUGCAGGCUGCAACUCGCCUGCAUGAAGUCGGAAUCGCUAGUAAUCGCGGAUCAGCAUGUCGCGGUGAAUACGUUCCCGGGCCUUGUACACACCGCCCGUCACACCAUGGGAGUGGGUUUUACCAGAAGUAGUUAGCCUAACCGUAAGGAGGGCGAUUACCACGGUAGUAUUCAUGACUGGGGUGAAGUCGUAACAAGGUAACC